Molecule: ribosomal RNA, 460 nt
Filed under: uncultured bacterium
Lineage: Bacteria
Description: partial 16S ribosomal RNA
Rfam family: Bacterial small subunit ribosomal RNA
Source: RNAcentral
CCUACGGGGGGCAGCAGUGAGGAAUAUUGGUCAAUGGCCGGAAGGCUGAACCAGCCAUGCCGCGUGAAGGUCAGUGCCCUAUGGGCGUUAAACUUCUUUUGUGCGGGAGCAAUAAUGGUCACGUGUGGCCAGACGAGAGUACCGUAUGAAUAAGCAUCGGCUAACUCCGUGCCAGCAGCCGCGGUAAUACGGGGGAUGCAAGCGUUAUCCGGAUUUAUUGGGUUUAAAGGGUGCGUAGGCUGUGAGGUAAGUCAGCGGUGAAAUGCCCCCGCUCAACGGGGUGAAGUGCCAUUGAUACUGCCUGGCUGGAAUGCGGAUGCCGUGGGAGGAAUGUGUGGUGUAGCGGUGAAAUGCAUAGAUAUCACACAGAACACCGAUUGCGAAGGCAUCUCACGAAUCCGCGAUUGACGCUGAUGCACGAAAGCGUGGGUAUCAAACAGGAUUAGAUACCCCAGUAGUC